CUUUACUGCAACUUGGCAUUGGAACUUGGCCGUAUUUGUGUAGGAUAGGUGGGAGACUUUGAUGCAGGGCCGCCAGGUCUUGCGGAGUCGUCGUUGAAAUACCACCCUGGUGCUGACGAGUUUCUAACCGGGUCCGUAAGCCGGAUCCGAGACAGUGUCUGGUGGGCAGUUUGACUGGGGCGGUCGCCUCCUAAAAGGUAACGGAGGCAUUCAAAGGUUCCCUCAGCGUGGUCGGUAAUCACGCGAAGAGUGCAAACGCAUAAGGGAGCUUAACUGCGAGACCGACAGGUCGAGCAGGUACGAAAGUAGGAGUUAGUGAUCCCGCGGUUUAGCGUGGAAUUGCCGUUGCUCAAUGGACAAAAGGUA
Molecule: ribosomal RNA, 366 nt
Filed under: uncultured organism
Description: bacterial LSU rRNA
Rfam family: Bacterial large subunit ribosomal RNA
Source: RNAcentral